GUGCAAUCCAAAAUUUACACCGUCGAUGUAUCAAAUAAUUAUUCUUUUAUUUUAUGGGUAAUUAUUUGAUACACCGGCGGUGUAAAUUUUGGACUCC
RNAcentral lists this microRNA precursor (97 nucleotides) under Corchorus capsularis. RNAcentral describes it as "pre miRNA MIR397". Lineage: Eukaryota; Viridiplantae; Streptophyta; Magnoliopsida; Malvales; Malvaceae. The record is from RNAcentral.